AAAAACACUUACGUAAAGGGCCUUAUAAUAAGAUUGCGUCUAGGGUCACGAAGGAGCGUCAUCCGCCACAAAGUGUGACAUUACUAACACAAAUUUCGUCACUUUGAUGGAUUUUACGUUAUGAAAGUACACGAGGAAAUUUCCAGGGAUGCCAAAAGUCAGUUAACCGAGUUGUGUUGGUUCCGGGUACACUCGUGAAUAUGAAUAUAAGCUGAGUUUAUAACAACUCGGCGAAAACAAUAAUAUAGUUAAGUACUUUUGGUUAACUGACUUUUGAGUCAGAAAUAUAAUGUAAUUAGA
Molecule: long non-coding RNA, 300 nt
Organism: Centruroides sculpturatus (bark scorpion)
Lineage: Eukaryota; Metazoa; Arthropoda; Arachnida; Scorpiones; Buthidae
Exons: 3
Source: RefSeq, a predicted model, not a curated record